AGAGUUUGAUCCUGGCUCAGAGCGAACGCUGGCGGCACGCCUAACACAUGCAAGUCGAGCGAGAAAGUGACUUCGGUCGCGAGUAAAGCGGCGAACGGGUGAGUACAACGUGGAUAAUCUACCCUAAGGUCUGGGACAACCCCGAGAAAUCGGGGCUAAUACCGGAUAAGACCACAGUAUCCAAGGAUACAGCGGUAAAAGAUUUAUCGCCUUUGGAUGAGUCCACGCCCCAUCAGGUAGUUGGUAAGGUAAAGGCUUACCAAGCCUAAGACGGGUAGCCGGCCUUAGCGGGUGAACGGCCACAUGGGGACUGAGACACGGCCCUGACUCCUACGGGAGGCAGCAGUGGGGAAUAUUGGGCAAUGGGCGAAAGCCUGACCCAGCGAUGCCGCGUGAGGGAUGAAGGCCUUCGGGUUGUAAACCUCUGUCAGGAGGGACGAUGGGACUUUGUCUUGACGGUACCUCCAGAGGAAGCCCCGGCUAACUCCGUGCCAGCAGCCGCGGCCAAUACCGGAGG
RNAcentral lists this ribosomal RNA (517 nucleotides) under uncultured bacterium. Its description in RNAcentral is "bacterial SSU rRNA". It matches the Rfam family "Bacterial small subunit ribosomal RNA", at positions 8 to 531 of the family's 1533-position model. The record is from RNAcentral.